CACGAAGGAGAGAGAGUAAGAAGUCUCUAGAAAAUGAAACACUCAAUAAGGAGGAAGAUUGCCACUCUCCAACUUCUAAACCUCCCAAACCUGAUCAGCCCCUAAAGGAAAGAUGGCAAAAAGGAUCAAGACUCCAGAUCUGCACCUGAGCCAAAGAAACCUGAGGAAAAUCCAGCUUCCAAGUUCAGUUCUGCAAGCAACUAUGCUGCUCUCUCUUGAUGGUGAAGAUGAAAAUGAGGGAGAAGAUUAUGCCGAAUAGACCUCUACAUCCUGUGCUUUUCUCCUAGUUUCUCUCCACCCUGGAACAUUCGAGAGCAAAUCAAAACCUCUAUCCAGACAAGACAAAAUAAAACUCACCAUCUCCUGAAGAUCUUUCUUACCUUUUUUUAAAAAC
This 394-nucleotide long non-coding RNA is filed under the name Homo sapiens (human). Its description in RNAcentral is "HSALNT0408436". Lineage: Eukaryota; Metazoa; Chordata; Mammalia; Primates; Hominidae. The record is from RNAcentral.